RNAcentral lists this ribosomal RNA (324 nucleotides) under uncultured prokaryote. Its description in RNAcentral is "bacterial SSU rRNA". It matches the Rfam family "Bacterial small subunit ribosomal RNA", at positions 26 to 352 of the family's 1533-position model. The record is from RNAcentral.
AGAUUGAACGCUGGCGGCAUGCCUAACACAUGCAAGUCGAGCGGUAACAGGCCCUUCGGGGUGCUGACGAGUGGCGGACGGGUGAGUAAUGCGUAGGAAUCUACCCACGAGUGGGGGAUAGCCCGGAGAAAUCCGGAUUAAUACCGCAUAUGCCCUACGGGGGAAAGCGGGGGAUCGAAAGACCUCGCGCCGGUGGAUGAGCCGAAGCCGGAUUAGCUAGUUGGUAGGGUAACGGCCUACCAAGGCUACGAUCGGUAGCUGGUCUGAGAGGACGACCAGCCACACUGGGACUGAGACACGGCCCAGACUCCUACGGGAGGCAGC